RNAcentral lists this ribosomal RNA (497 nucleotides) under uncultured bacterium. Its description in RNAcentral is "partial 16S ribosomal RNA". It matches the Rfam family "Bacterial small subunit ribosomal RNA", at positions 28 to 507 of the family's 1533-position model. The record is from RNAcentral.
GAUGAACGCUGGCGGCGUGCCUAAUACAUGCAAGUCGAGCGAACGGACGAGAAGCUUGCUACUCUGAUGUUAGCGGCGGACGGGUGAGUAACACGUGGAUAACCUACCUAUAAGACUGGGAUAACUUCGGGAAACCGGAGCUAAUACCGGAUGAUAUUUUGAACCGCAUGGUUCAAAAGUGAAAGACGGUCUUGCUGUCACUUAUAGAUGGAUCCGCGCUGCAUUAGCUAGUUGGUAAGGUAACGGCUUACCAAGGCAACGAUGCAUAGCCGACCUGAGAGGGUGAUCGGCCACACUGGAACUGAGACACGGUCCAGACUCCUACGGGAGGCAGCAGUAGGGAAUCUUCCGCAAAGGGCGAAAGCCUGACGGAGCAACGCCGCGUGAGUGAUGAAGGUCUUCGGAUCGUAAAACUCUGUUAUUAGGGAAGAACAUAUGUGUAAGUAACUGUGCACAUCUUGACGGUACCUAAUCAGAAAGCCACGGCUAACUACGUG